This 484-nucleotide ribosomal RNA is filed under the name uncultured bacterium. RNAcentral describes it as "partial 16S ribosomal RNA". It matches the Rfam family "Bacterial small subunit ribosomal RNA", at positions 28 to 507 of the family's 1533-position model. The record is from RNAcentral.
AUUGAACGCUGGCGGCAUGCUUUACACAUGCCAGUCGAACGGCAGCGCGGGCUUCGGCCUGGCGGCGAGUGGCGCACGGGUGAGUAAUACAUCGGAACGUGCCCAGUAGAGGGGGAUAGCUCGGCGAAAGCCGGAUUAAUACCGCAUACGUCCUGAGGGUGAACGCGGGGGCUCUUCGGACCUCGCGCUAUUGGAGCGGCCGAUGGCCGACUAGCUAGUUGGUGGGGUAAAGGCCUACCAAGGCGACGAUCUGUAGCUGGUCUGAGAGGACGACCAGCGACGCGGGGAGUGAGACACGGCCCAGACUGCUACGUGAGGCAGUAGUGGGGAAGUGUGGACAAUGGGCGAGAGUCUGAUCGAGCAAGGCCGCGUGUGGGAUGACGGCCUGCGGGUUGUGAAGCACUUUUGGCGGGAACGAAAAGGACUGUGCCAAUACCACGCUUUGAUGACGGGACCCGGAGAAUAAGCGCCGGCUAACUACGUG